UACGUAGGGACCAAGCGUUGUUCGGAUUUACUGGGCGUAAAGGGCGCGUAGGCGGCGUGUUAAGUCAGCUGUGAAAUCUCCAAGCUUAACUUGGAACGGUCAGCUGAUACUGAUGUGCUAGAGUGCAGAAAGGGCAAUCGGAAUUCUUGGUGUAGCGGUGAAAUGCGUAGAUAUCAGGAAGAACAUCGGUGGCGAAGGCGAGUCCCUGGACGAUACCUGACACUGAGGCACGAAAGCCAAGGGAGCAAACAGG
Molecule: ribosomal RNA, 253 nt
Filed under: uncultured bacterium
Lineage: Bacteria
Description: partial 16S ribosomal RNA
Rfam family: Bacterial small subunit ribosomal RNA
Source: RNAcentral